CGCCCAACAGCUAGCUCACCCCAACAAUACCAACAUUCCACUACCCAUACCCCUACAAAUACUUCAGCCCAAAAAUAAACCAUUCUUCCUCCCAAGUACGGGCGACGAAAAAGGACCUACGAAGCAAUAGAGAAAGUACCGCAAGGGAAAGCUGAAAGAGAAAUGAAACAACUCAGUAAAACACCAAAAAGCAGAGAUUACUUCUCGUACCUUUUGCAUCAUGAUUUAGCAAGAAAUACUUAAGCAAAAAGCAUUAAAGUUUAAUACCCCGAAACUAAGUGAGCUACUCCAAGACAGCCUAAUUAUGGGGCAAACCCGUCUCUGUGGCAAAAGAGUGGGAAGAACUUUGAGUAGAGGUGACAGACCUACCGAACUUAGUUAUAGCUGGUUGCUUGGGAACUGAAUAGAAGUUCAGCCCUUUAUAAUUCUUCCCUCCCCUCAGCCCUAAGCUCAAAACAGACAAAAAGAAUUUAAAGGAGUUAGUCAAAGGGGGUACAGCCCCUUUGAAACAAGAUACAACUUUUACAGCAGGGUAAAGAUCACAACAAAUUAAAGGUAAAUGUUUUAGUGGGCCUAAAAGCAGCCAUCCAAACAGAAAGCGUUAAAGCUCAGACAUUCCACCCCUCCUCCCAAUACCGAUAAAAAUAUCUUAUCCCUCUAACCCUACCAGGCCGUCCCAUUCUUACCACAUGGGAGCGAUUAUGCUAAAAUGAGUAAUAAGAGAGUACCCGCCUCUCUCCUUGCACACACGUACAUCGGAACGAACCCCCACCGAACAUUAACGACCCCAAAACAAAGAGGGAACUGGACAAAAAACAAAUAACCAGAAAACCAUCCAACAACCCACCGUUAACCCCACACUGGUGUGCCCAACAGGAAAGACAGAAAGAAAAAGAAGGAACUCGGCAAACAUAAGCCUCGCCUGUUUACCAAAAACAUCGCCUCUUGUUAAACAAAACAUAAGAGGUCCCGCCUGCCCUGUGACUAUAUGUUUAACGGCCGCGGUAUUUUGACCGUGCAAAGGUAGCGCAAUCACUUGUCUUUUAAAUGAAGACCCGUAUGAAUGGCACAACGAGGGCUUAACUGUCUCCUUUUUCCCGUCAAUGAAAUUGAUCUCCCCGUGCAGAAGCGGGGAUACACCCAUAAGACGAGAAGACCCUAUGGAGCUUCAGGCUUCUGAACAGACUAUGUUAAGCCCCUAACACAAAAGACAAAACUAAUUAGACCCCGUUCAAAUGCCUUUGGUUGGGGCGACCGCGGGGAAAUAAAAAACCCCCAUGUGGACUAAGAACACAACUCCUCUUAAAGCCAAGAACUACCGCUCUAAGCAACAGAACUUCUGACCAAAAAUGAUCCGGCAAAGCCGAUCAACGGACCGAGUUACCCUAGGGAUAACAGCGCAAUCCCCUUCUAGAGCCCAUAUCGACAAGGGGGUUUACGACCUCGAUGUUGGAUCAGGACAUCCUAUUGGUGCAGCCGCUAUUAAGGGUUCGUUUGUUCAACGAUUAAAGUCCUACGUGAUCUGAGUUCAGACCGGAGUAAUCCAGGUCAGUUUCUAUCUAUGUUACGAUCUUUUCCAGUACGAAAGGACCGAAAAGAAGAGGCCCAUGUUCCAAACACGCCUCCCCCUUAUCUAAUGAAGACAACUAAAAUAGACAAAAAGGCGUCUCCCCAAGCUAAAGAGAAAUAGCUU
This 1693-nucleotide ribosomal RNA is filed under the name Cichla ocellaris (peacock cichlid). Its description in RNAcentral is "16S ribosomal RNA". It matches the Rfam family "Bacterial large subunit ribosomal RNA". Lineage: Eukaryota; Metazoa; Chordata; Actinopteri; Cichliformes; Cichlidae. The record is from RNAcentral.